RNAcentral lists this ribosomal RNA (444 nucleotides) under uncultured bacterium. RNAcentral's name for it is "bacterial SSU rRNA". It matches the Rfam family "Bacterial small subunit ribosomal RNA", at positions 28 to 507 of the family's 1533-position model. The record is from RNAcentral.
GAUGAACGCUGGCGGUAUGCCUAACACAUGCAAGUCGUACGGGAGUUUUUAACUCUAGUGGCGGACGGGUGAGUAACACGUGAGAAUUUGCCUUUAGGAGGGGGACAACAGUUGGAAACGACUGCUAAUACCCCAUAUGCUUUCGAGUGAAAUGGAUUUAUAUUUAUCCGCCUAGAGAGAAGCUCGCGGCUGAUUAGCUUGUUGGUAAGGUAAGAGCUUACCAAGGCGACGAUCAGUAUCUGGUUUGAGAGGACGAUCAGACACACUGGAACUGAGACACGGUCCAGACUCCUACGGGAGGCAGCAGUGGGGAAUUUUCCGCAAUGGGCGAAAGCCUGACGGAGCAAUACCGCGUGAGGGAAGACUGCCUAUGGGUUGUAAACCUCUUUUUCAGGGAGGAAUCAAUGACGUGUACCUGAAGAAUAAGCAUCGGCUAACUCCGUG